Molecule: transfer RNA, 68 nt
Filed under: Fukomys damarensis (Damara mole-rat)
Lineage: Eukaryota; Metazoa; Chordata; Mammalia; Rodentia; Bathyergidae
Rfam family: tRNA
About the family: Transfer RNA (tRNA) molecules are approximately 80 nucleotides in length. Their secondary structure includes four short double-helical elements and three loops (D, anti-codon, and T loops).
Source: Rfam by way of RNAcentral
GAGAAGGUAGUUCAGUGGUAGAGCACUUGCCUUGCAUGCAAGAGGCCAUAGGUUUAAUCCCUCACUCU